UAAGGUUUAGUGUUUAGUGCACAUCUCCCUUUUAAGGAGAAGGUAAAACUUUGGUUUUGGCCUUGA
This 66-nucleotide transfer RNA is filed under the name Paralongidorus litoralis. RNAcentral describes it as "tRNA-Lys". Lineage: Eukaryota; Metazoa; Nematoda; Enoplea; Dorylaimida; Longidoridae. The record is from RNAcentral.